RNAcentral lists this long non-coding RNA (853 nucleotides) under Lupinus angustifolius (narrow-leaved blue lupine). RNAcentral describes it as "long non-coding RNA (LANG_LNC000048)". Lineage: Eukaryota; Viridiplantae; Streptophyta; Magnoliopsida; Fabales; Fabaceae. The record is from RNAcentral.
UUUUUACUAUAUCAAUAUUUUUUCUUACUUUUUUAGUUCAAAAUUUACUAACAAGAUUCUGAGCUUUCUGCUUUUGGUAUCUUCCAUGUUGUUGAGAUGGAGACAUUACAUCUUCUCAUUUUAUACAUGGAUUGUGUUCAUUAUGCUUUCUAGGAUUUGGAACCAUUCAACAAACUUUAUGAAUAGAACAAACCUCAGUUUUCUAAAGUUGGUGUAGGAAAUAUAUGCAAAUUUUGAAAUACUUUUUUCACUUGCUUGAGGACAGUUAGUUUUCUAUGUCCUAAGAGAAUCGGAUGCCAAGACUUUAUUUUGGACAUAUAUGUAAGGCACAAAUAACAUUUGAUAACAAUUAAUGUUUUAUUUUGCAUUGAUCAAUAAACUUGCUCCUUCUGGCAUGUCAUCCUCUUUCCCUAUUCUUUUCUUCACAUCAAUAUCAUAUAAGUAAGUUUUACAUUCUCAUUCCUAAAUACUUGUUAUUUGUUUAUCUAAUUUUAUGCUUCUGUUUCUACAAUUUUUUUUUUUAUAUAUUACUAUAUAUAUUUAAAAAGGUAGGUUCAUCUCUAACUAUGCUUUAUUUAUUCUUAAUAGUUACUGAAAUCUCUAACUAUGAACAGGUAACUCACAAUCAUUUAAACAGAAUUUGGUGGAGUCAAGAGAAUCAUACACUACAGUCUACAUCUUUACAUUAUGCUCAGUGUAGGUACUCUUUCAUACCACAAUGAAUACGUUGUACACUAGAUUUACAUUUCAUCAACAAUUAGUUACGCUUUUCCUUAUGAUAAUAUUAUCACAUACUUAAGUUCAUUAUAUAUUGUUGAAUUUUUAUUCUAUACUACCAAUUUUGUUCUGUUUA